Non-coding RNA from Bombyx mori (domestic silkworm), 87 nucleotides. NCBI's taxonomy places the organism in Eukaryota, Metazoa, Arthropoda, Insecta, Lepidoptera, Bombycidae. The record is from Rfam.
CUGUACUAUCUUGUCUGUGGUUCGAGGGUGAGAUUGUCACAGCAGUAUAGGGGGUACAUUCGAGAACCGUAAGACAAUUAAUAUAAA